UGCUCCUACGGGGGGCAGCAGUGAGGAAUAUUGGUCAAUGGGCGCGAGCCUGAACCAGCCAAGUAGCGUGAAGGAUGACUGCCCUACGGGUUGUAAACUUCUUUUAUAAAGGAAUAAAGUGAGGCACGUGUGCCUUUUUGUAUGUAUUUUAUGAAUAAGGAUCGGCUAACUCCGUGCCAGCAGCCGCGGUAAUACGGAGGAUCCGAGCGUUAUCCGGAUUUACUGGGUGUAAAGGGCGUGUAGGCGGGAAUGCAAGUCAGAUGUGAAA
Molecule: ribosomal RNA, 268 nt
Filed under: uncultured bacterium
Lineage: Bacteria
Description: partial 16S ribosomal RNA
Rfam family: Bacterial small subunit ribosomal RNA
Source: RNAcentral